RNAcentral lists this ribosomal RNA (468 nucleotides) under uncultured bacterium. RNAcentral describes it as "partial 16S ribosomal RNA". It matches the Rfam family "Bacterial small subunit ribosomal RNA", at positions 28 to 507 of the family's 1533-position model. The record is from RNAcentral.
GACGAACGCUGGCGGCGCGCCUAACACAUGCAAGUCGAACGGAGCUGAGAGAAGCUUGCUUUUCUUAGCUUAGUGGCGCACGGGUGAGUAACGCGUGAGUAACCUGCCCUGGAGUGGGGGACAACAGUUGGAAACGACUGCUAAUACCGCAUAAGCCCACGAUCCGGCAUCGGAUUGAGGGAAAAGGAUUUAUUCGCUUCAGGAUGGACUCGCGUCCAAUUAGCUAGUUGGUGAGGUAACGGCCCACCAAGGCGACGAUUGGUAGCCGGACUGAGAGGUUGAACGGCCACAUUGGGACUGAGACACGGACCAGACUCCGACGGGAGGCAGCAGUGGGGGAUAUUGCACAAUGGGGGAAACCCUGAUGCAGCGGCGCCGCGUGGAGGAAGAAGGUGUUCGGAUUGUAAACUCCUGUCGUUAGGGACGAUAAUGACGGUACCUAACAAGAAAGCACCGGCUAACUACGUG